GGACCAGGAACAGGCCCUCCACAUGCAGGUCUGGUCAAUUCAUAUCAAUUAGUUAACCAUCUAGGACCAGGAACAGGCCCUCCACAUGCACGUCUGGUCAAUUCAUAUCAAUUAGUUAACCAUCUAGGACCAGGAACAGGCCCUCCACAUGCAGGUCUGGUCAAUUCAUAUCAAUUAGUUAACCAUCUAGGACCAGGAACAGGCCCUCCACAUGCACGUCUGGUCAAUUAAUAUCAAUUAAUUAACCAUCUAGGACCAGGAACAGGCCCUCCACAUGCAGGUCUGGUCAAUUCAUAUCAAUUAUUUAACCAUCUAGGACCAGGAACAGGCCCUCCACAUGCACGUCUGGUCAAUUAAUAUCAAUUAAUUAACCAUCUAGGACCAGGAACAGGCCCUCCACAUGCACGUCUGGUCAAUUCAUAUCAAUUAGUUAACCAUCUAGGACCAGGAACAGGCCCUCCACAUGCACGUCUGAUCAAUUAAAAUCAAUGAAUCAACUACCUAAAACAGGACGGUCUGAUCUGUCUAAAAAUAUCAAUUAUUUUUAUUUAACAGUUAUUUGACUAAGUUUGUCAUUGAGAAUAAAUUGACAUUAUCAAGGACCACCUGUCCAAAUCAAUACAGCAAAAGGAAAAAACCUACAACAGAGAAUCACACAUUAAUAAUGUAGAAAUGUAAAUACAAGUGAAUAAAAACAGCAAGCACAUUGAUCAGAUCAACCACCAAGACACAGGAACAAGG
Long non-coding RNA from Esox lucius (northern pike), 741 nucleotides. Lineage: Eukaryota; Metazoa; Chordata; Actinopteri; Esociformes; Esocidae. The record is from Ensembl.